This 265-nucleotide ribosomal RNA is filed under the name uncultured Staphylococcus sp. RNAcentral's name for it is "partial 16S ribosomal RNA". It matches the Rfam family "Bacterial small subunit ribosomal RNA", at positions 96 to 355 of the family's 1533-position model. Lineage: Bacteria; Bacillati; Bacillota; Bacilli; Caryophanales; Staphylococcaceae. The record is from RNAcentral.
CGGCGGACGGGNGAGUAACACGUGGGUAACCUACCUAUAAGACUGGGACAACUUCGGGAAACCGGAGCUAAUACCGGAUAAGAUAUCGAACCGCAUGGUUCGAUAGUGAAAGAUGGUUUUGCUAUCACUUAUAGAUGGACCCGCGCCGUAUUAGCUAGUUGGUGAGGUAACGGCUCACCAAGGCAACGAUACGUAGCCGACCUGAGAGGGUGAUCGGCCACACUGGAACUGAGACACGGUCCAGACUCCUACGGGAGGCAGCAGC